ACCUACGGGGGGCAGCAGUGGGGAAUAUUGCACAAUGGGGGGAACCCUGAUGCAGCGACGCCGCGUGAGUGAAGAAGUAUUUCGGUAUGUAAAGCUCUAUCAGCAGGGAAGAAAAUGACGGUACCUGACUAAGAAGCCCCGGCUAACUACGUGCCAGCAGCCGCGGUAAUACGUAGGGGGCAAGCGUUAUCCGGAUUUACUGGGUGUAACGGGAGCGGAGACGGCCAGACAAGUCUGAAGUGAAAAUCCAGCGCUUAACGUUGGAAGUGCUUUGGAAACUGCCGGGCUAGAGUGCAGGCGGGGCG
This 305-nucleotide ribosomal RNA is filed under the name uncultured bacterium. Its description in RNAcentral is "bacterial SSU rRNA". It matches the Rfam family "Bacterial small subunit ribosomal RNA", at positions 337 to 659 of the family's 1533-position model. The record is from RNAcentral.